This 1352-nucleotide long non-coding RNA is filed under the name Homo sapiens (human). Its description in RNAcentral is "HSALNT0337448". Lineage: Eukaryota; Metazoa; Chordata; Mammalia; Primates; Hominidae. The record is from RNAcentral.
GAAGAAGAUGAUUUUUCACCUAGUGGAGUCAUUGAACAGUGGUCUUCAAAUUGGGAUUAUUUCCAAGAAUAGAUUAAAAUGCCAUGAAAAAGAAAAAAUUAUAGAAAAGCAAAAAGAGCUGAAUGCAGUGAAUGAACAUCUGUGAAUGAAGUUGAGAAGGUAUAUGUGGGGCAGACUAGAAUUGCAGUGCACAGAUACAAGAAUGUUGCCUGCUUUGGAGCCAAGACUGCCUUCCGGAUAAAGGGCCCACAGAGAGCUGAGAGCUGUGUAAUACCUCAAAGACUGAAGAAAAGAGUUAGACAGCCAUCUUUCCUUAGAGGAUUUUGCUGCAGACAGCUUGAACUACCAGAAGGUUAUAUACUGACCAUGGGUAGAGUAAGGAAGAAAUACAUCCUUCGGAAAGGACAAUGAAGAUCUUUACAGCAGGGAGGUGAGGACAAAGUGAUUCUCCCUUCUGGAGGAUGCAGCAAAGUGCUGCCUGCCAUCUUGGAAGCACAGAGUAGCCUUCACCACACUCUAAUCCCAUCAGAGCCUUGAUCUUGGACUUGCCAGCCUUCAGAACAGUCUUGCCUCAUCACUGCCAUGACAGGGGGGUCCAAUGUGAGGAUUCUGGUGUCUAUGCCAAGCAUCUCUUUUCCAACGUAGAUCUGAUUUCUUAACAUAGCCAACAGCAAGUCAACAUCAGCUUUGCAGAGAAAAGCAGGGAUGCGUGUGCACAAAGAAAAGGCCAUGUGAGGACAUAGCAAGAGGGAAGCUGUCCGCAAGCCAAGGAAAAAGGCCUCAGGAGAAACCAAAUCUGCCAAUACAUUGAUCUUGGACUUCCAGCAUUCAGAAAUGGAGACUUGUAUUUUCUGACAUUCAACUUAAUCGAAGAAUAAAGCUUUAACAGUGGCAUCAGUGACAUGAUGAAUGAUGCAUCAUUUUGAAGUAAUAAUGGUUUUCCCAGUGACUCAGAAAUAGCAGUAUGUUCAGAUUCAGUGUGCCUGUUCAUGAGAGCUCUGCAGAAAUUGCACAUCUGGCUCUUUGCCUGUGCACCUGAAGUUAUCUCAGGAGAAAUUAUACAAAUUAAAUACAGACACAGAGAAGGUCUUUUUUAAUUCAAAGGAAAAGAAUAUAUAUUCAAGAAAAGCAAAAAAGGUGGAAGUUGGGCCUUUGGUCAUUAAUUCUCUCUCUCUCUCUUGCUAAUUUUUGCAAAUAGGGAGAACUUGGAACAUCUGCCAAAAUUUUUAUUUUGUGCUUUAUUUUGGCUACCUGUUUAUUCCAUAGAACUAUGACUUGUCCUGGUGAUUCAGGCUUACUCCUUAAUUUCUGAACUGAUUGCCAGAGAGUCAGGGAUAUACACAUACAUUAUA